RNA transcript from Mustela lutreola (European mink), 6575 nucleotides. It is a transcript of the gene named RNA polymerase II associated protein 2, with no coding region annotated. The record is from RefSeq and is a predicted model, not a curated record. Lineage: Eukaryota; Metazoa; Chordata; Mammalia; Carnivora; Mustelidae. The transcript has 14 exons.
CCCCGCCCCGCGCUACGCGAGGGGAGGUGGAGCCUCAAAGGGAGAAGCCGGCGCCGGCCUAACCCUCUGACGACGCUUCCCAUGGCAGACUCCGCCGGGCACCGUUCUGCCCACCUCAAGGCCCGGGGGCCCCGCGCCUCCCGAAACGCCGCAGGUGCUAAACAGACAAAUGCCUUAAAACAAGAAGAUGCUUCUAAAAGGAGAGCAGAACUAGAAGCAGCUGUGAGAAAGAAAAUUGAAUUUGAGAGAAAAGCUCUACAUAUCGUUGAGCAGCUUUUAGAAGAGGAUAUUACAGAAGAAUUCCUAAGGGAAUGCGGGAGGUUCAUCACACCAGCUCACUACAGCGAUGUCGUGGAUGAACGUUCUAUUAUUAAACUCUGCGGUUAUCCAUUAUGUCAGAAGAAACUAGGAGUUGUACCAAAACAGAAGUAUAAAAUUUCUACCAAAACCAAUAAAGUCUAUGAUAUUACUGAAAGAAAGUGUUUUUGCAGCAAUUUUUGUUAUAAAGCAUCUAAGUUUUUUGAAGCACAAAUUCCAAAAACUCCAGUAUGGGUUCGAGAAGAGGAAAGGCAUCCUGAUUUUCAGCUGCUACAGGAAGGACAAAGUGGCCAUUCUGGAAAGGAAGUACAGUUAUGCACUAAGACCAUUAAAACAUCAGAUAUUGACAAUCCUGGCCAUUCUGAGAUGCAUUAUGAAUCUAGUGCUUCUAGCUCUCAUAGUGAUAGUAGCAGUGAUAAUGAGCAAGACUUUGUUUCCACCAUUCUACCAGGAAACAGACCAAAUGCAACAGGUAUAAGUCCACAGCUGCCCAAAAAAAGCAUAAUGAAAAAGAAAGCUGGUCAGAAAGCUAACUCCAAAUGUGAAGACAAAGAAGAGACAGUAAUAGCUGUCACUGAGCAGCUAGGCAAUUGCAGAUUAGAUAGUCAUGGGAAAGCUGCUGCUUGUGAACUUCCUUUACAGCAAGUAAGUACUCAGAUUUCUUCAAAUAGUCCUUUGCAAGAAAAAUUAGAAGCUACAGAAAAUUCUGAAGAUAAAUACAAUAGUUCAAAAAUAACUCUAGUAGGCAUAAGUAAGAAAAGUGCUGAGCAUUUUAAGAGAAAAUUUGCCAAAUCAAACCAAGUUUCUAGGUCACCCUCUAGGCUGGUGCAGAUGUGUCCCAAAGUUGCAAAGACAAACUUACUUAAAGUCCUGAAAGAGACUUUGACUGAAUGGAAGACAGAAGAAACUUUGAGGUUUUUGUAUGGCCAAAAUUAUGCUUCUUUGUGUCUGAAACUCUCUUCAUCCCCUCUGGCUAAAGAAGAAGAAUUUGAUGAAGAUGACAUAUGCUCUGACUCAGAUAAACAUUCUCCUGCCUUGCAGGAAUCUCAGAACAGCUUGGAUGAGUCUUUACCUUUUAGGGCCUCAGAAACAGCCAUUAAACCACUGCCAAGUUAUGAGAACUUGAAGAAAGAAACUGAAACAUUAAAUCUGAGAAUAAGGGAGUUUUAUAGAGGACGAUAUGUUUUGAGUGAAGAAACCACCAAAUCACAAGACUCUGAAGAGCAUGAUCUCACCUUUCCACUGAUAGAUUCAAGUUCUCAGAACCAGAUUAGAAAACGCAUCGUACUUGAAAAGUUAAGUAAAGUAGUCCCUGGACUUUUGGGGCCUCUUCAGAUCACAUUAGGAGAUAUUUCUGCACAACUUAAAAACCUUAUCCGAACUUUCAGAUUAACAAAUAGAAAUAUUAUACACAAACCUGCAGAGUGGACCUUAAUUGCUGUGGUGUUGCUGUCAUUACUGACCCCAAUUCUUGGCAUUCAGAAGCAUUCUCAGGAGAAUGUCGUGUUUACACAGUUUAUAGAGACUUUGCUUGAAGAAUUACAUUUAAAGAAUGAAGACCUUGAAAACUUAACCAACAUAUUUAAAACCAGCUGUUAACCACGGAGUGCUUCACACUCGAACCUAGACCAUGCUUCAUGUGCCGUCUUACUGGUUGAAGUAAAUUGCUCUUUCCAGGGAAGAAACCUCACUACUGCAGCCAUCCACUGAGAACGUCCUCACCCAAUUCCCUCUUUGAGGAAACGAUCCCCAACCCAUUCACUACUUCAGUCAUCUCCUGAGUAGAUAACUAGGUAUAAUCCAUGAAGACCAAAUAGAAGAUGAGCUUCUAUUCAUCAUUUCUGGAAUUCUAGCCAUAGUAAUGUUCUGGUGGUAACAGAUAACUAGCUUUGUUCCAAGAAAGACCUUUACCUCCUUAGAUUUCAGCCGCCUGGUUCCCAGUCCCUAACUGUACAGUGGCUUCCCCUAGAUAGAGGAGAACCACUUUUCCAACAAGGAUAACCAAGUCCUUGCAUCCCUAGCUGUAAGACAUAGUAUUUCUAUUUAAUUGAAAAAUGAAAAAUGAAGUCGUAAGUUGAAACUUCAAUAAAUAUUGGCCUUAUUUUUUUCCUGGAUGAUUCCAGCCAUUAUAUUGGUUGGCGAAACAUUUGAGAACAUUCCUAUUUUGACAUCACAAUCUAAACUGUAGAUUCUAAACAGUAAAAGGUUCAAUAAAUGCAAUGUAAGAUGAAGCCCUUUGAAAGUCUAAUCAUUAUUCUUUUAAAGAAACUGCUAUAAAAUAGUACUGAACAAUGUGGUUAAUCUUACAAGUCUAAAACAGGAAUAUUCCACAAUUUUCUGGACUUGAAAAAAAAAGGAAACUGUAGUUUGUUUUCAGAGUUUACACAGCUAUUUCAAAAUGUCUGUCAUCAUGCAAGCUACAAGGCCUCCAGAGCAGUUAAGGUAAGGGGGAGGGGGACUCAGACAAUUUGGGAAGCUUUACUGGAGGGCCAAGAAACAAAAUAAGAAUCAGAUCUACACUCUUGGACACUUGAGGAAGUGAUAGCUGCUAGAAGUCUAACCAUGGAAAGGGUCCAGAAAGCAGCCUUGUGGAAUGGGGAGCUUAAUAGAUGAGAAUCUACAAGUUCAGUAAGUCACAGACUACAAUAGACAGAAAUCAGUUGUUUUUGUAUAUUAGCAAUGAAAAAUUCAAAAAGCAAGAAAAUUCCAUUCAAAAUAGCACCAGAAAGUAUUUAGUAUUUAGUAAAUUUAACAAAAGAAGUAUAAGAUUUGUGGGGCUCCUGGGUGGCAUAGUCAAUUAAGCAUCUAAAUCUUGAUUUCAGCUCCCAUUCUGAUCUCCGUGUCUUGAGAUAUGAGCCAUGGGUCAGCUCACACGGAGUACGGCAUCUGCUUGAGAUUUGCUGUCCCUCUUCAUCUGUCCCUCUGGCUCCUGCUCUCUGUCAAAUAUUUUAAGGUUGGGGGGGGCAUCUGGGUGGCUUAGUCCAGGCAAGUGUCUGACUCAGUUUCUGCUCAGGUCAUGGUCUCAGGGUUGAGAGAUCAAGCCCCAUGUUGGGCUCAGCACUCAGCGUGCAGUCUGCUUGAAUAUCUCUUUCCCUCUCCUUCUGCCUUCUGCUUGUGUGCUCACUCUAAAAUAAAAAAUCCUUAAAAAUAAAUAAAAGCGUAAAACUUCAAAAAGAGUGAGAGGCGCCUGGGUGGCUCAGUUGGUUAAGCAUCUGCCUUCAGCUUGGAUCCUGAUCCCAGGGUUCUGGGAUCAGGCCCCAUUUCAGGCUCCCUGCUCAGCAGAAAGUCUGUUUCUCCCUCUCUGUCUCUCUGCUACUCCUCUGCUCAUACUCUCUCUCAAAUAAAUAAAAAUAAACAUCUUUUUUUAAAAAGUUGUAUAAUGAGGGGUGCCUCGGUGGCUCAGGGGGUUAAGGCCUCUGCCUUCGGCUCAGGUCAUAGUCUCAGGGUCUUGGGAUUGAGCCCUGCAUUAGGCUCUCUGCUCAGUGGGGAGCCUGCUUCCUCCUCUCUCUCUGCCUGCCUCUCUGCUGACUUGUGAUCUCUGUCUGUCAAAUACAUAAAAUCUUAAAAAGAAAAGGAAUAGUGUUAAAAAAAUAAAUAAAAGUUGUAUAAUGAAUAUUAUGAAACAGAAACAUUAAAGAAGGUGUAGAGAUAUUCCAUGUUUAUGAAUUAGAAGUUUCGAUUGUUAAGAUGAUAGUCCUCCCCACAUUGCUAAUAGAUCACUACAAUCCCUCUCAAAAUUCCAGUAGGCUAUUUUGAAGUAUUUCAAGCUGAUCCUAAAAUUUCUAGGGAAAUACAAAGGAUUUCCAAAAUAUCCAAGACAGUUCUGAAAAACACUUCCUGAUCUCAAAACUUACUACAAAGCUAUAGUAAUCAAUACAGUCUGAUACUGAUAGGCAUAAAGAUCAGUACAGCAGAGGUUCAGCUGGGAAGAUGGCCAAGUAGGAGGAUGUUAAGCUCUUCUUGCCCCAUGGAUACAAGUGGGUAACACCUCAGUAUAAACCCAAAAGAUGACCUGAAGCCUGGCAAGAUAAACCCCACAACUAAAUAAAUGGUAGGCAAAAGGCCACAUAGAAGAAGGUAGAAAGGGCCACGAUGUGGUCUGGGAGCAAAGUGGACUAGGGCCAUCCCCAGUGGGAAGGGAGCCUGUAGCACAAAGGACAGAAAACCAACUUUCACACUGGGGAGCCCAUAAAUGGGGAGGAUGAAUCCCCAUAAUACUUGCCUUUGAAAGUGAGAGGAGGCCAAUUUCUUGAGUUCCUACAACCCAGUGGGACUUAAAAGGCUGGAAUUUUUAAAUCAGUGGCCUCAAUUCCAGGAGAGCCUGGAGGGUAUUAGGAAGCAGAGUUCCCAUGCCUAAAGAAUCUGAACAGAUGCAGCACAGAACCAGAAGUUCGAAAAACACCAGGGGUAGAUGGGAAGAAGGAUUUGUUCAUCUCAGAACAUGGCCUGGAGAGAGGGAUCACAGGAAGACCCAUCCAGAAACAAAGGAGCUGACAGGUUCGAUAUCCCUCCAUCCCCCACUGCCCCCCACAUAAAUAGUAGAUGCCUGUAGGAAUGAUUGCAGCACCAACAUUUAUCACUUAACUUGGCUUACACGAAGCCCCACCCCUACACUUCUGUGAAUCCACUCUUCCCAGUCACCGUCACCUUAGUCCAGUCACUGUGGGCCCCCUCUCCGAAAAGACUAGUGGAAACCUUGCCAACACCACAUCUGACUGGCACAUUGUGCAGAAAUUCUGAUCUGGGAGCAGAUCAUUUCACUAGCAGACCACCACACACCUUGCUAAAUGCUGCCCACAAUAGGCAAACACAGCCUCUGCAGACAACUGGACUGAAGGAAAAAAAAAGAGGGCAAGACAACAGUAGAGCACACACAACACCCAUAGGAGACAUUCCCUGAAGCACCAGGCCCCGGAGAACAACACUGCACCAAAAGACCUCUUCUAUAUGAGGCAAUUAUAGUUAAGAGCAAGAGAAGUAGCUGACUUUCCUAACACAAAGAAACAGACACAGGAAGUCAGACAAAACAAGGAGACAGAGGAAUAGCUCUUAAAUGAAAAAACAGGAACAAACCACAGCAUGAGAUCAAAGCAAAAUAUAAGUGAUAGGCCUGAUAAAAAAUUUAAAGUAUGAUCAUAAAGAUACACAUUAGACCUUAGACAAGAAUGGAAGACAUCAGUGAGACCCUUAACACAUAUAUAAAGGAACUAAUGAGAGAUGAACAACACAAUAAAUGAAAUUUAAAAUACACUUGAUGCAACACAUAGCAGGCUAGAUAAAGCAGAGGAAAUAAAAAUAACGACUUGAAGACAGUAAUAGAAAGUAACCACGCUGAACAAAAGCAAGGAAAGAAAAUUGUGCAGAUUGAGAAUAGGCUUAGAGAAUUCAAUGACUCCAUUAGUGUAAUAAUGCAUUAUAGGGAUUGCAGAAGAGAGAAAGGGUGGCAGAAAAUUUAUUUAAAUAAUAGCUGAAAAAUUCCCUACACAUCCAGGAGGCACAGAAAUCUCCCCCAUACCCUACUAAAUUCAACACAAGGAAUUCCACAUCAGACACGUAGUAAUUAAAAUGGCAAAAAGUAGCAAUAAGGAAAAAAAAAUUACAGCUUUUUCAGCAGAAACUUUUCAGGCCAGAAGGGGUAGUGGGAUAUAUUCAAGAUGCUGAAAGGGUAAAACCUAGAGCCAAAAAUAUUCUAUCUAGCAAGGAUGUUGUUCAGAAUAUAAGGAGAGAUAAGAACUUCUCAAAAGAGGAGUUCAUGACCAGCUCUAUAAGAAAUAUUAAUGGGGACUCUGAGUGGAAAGGGAAAACCUUAGGUUGAAAGCAUGAAAUGUAGGAAAAUGCAAAAGCAGUAAAAAUAAGCAUUUCUCUUAAAAAAAAAAAAAAAAAAAAAAGUCUGUCAAGGCUGGUGACUGGGUGGCUCAGUCAGUAAGGGUCUGCCUUCAGCUCAGGUCAUGAUCCCAGGAUCAAGCCCCACAUUGGGCUCCCUGCUUAACACGAACCCUGCUUCUUUCUCCCUCUUCCACUUCCCCUGCUUGUGUUCCCUCUCUUGGUGUGUCUCUCUCUGUCAAAUAAAUAAAUAAAAUCUUUGGGGGGGGAAUCAGUCAAGGGAUUCAUACACACACAAGAAAGAUGUAAAAUAUGAUACCAUAUAACUGAAAUUUGUAGGGGGAAAAGAGUAAAGAGUAAAGAAUGUUUGAACUUAAGUGACCAUCAACUGCUAUAUGCAGAAGAUACCUAAUGUUAUCAAAUAAAAAAUAAAA